This is a long non-coding RNA of Dermochelys coriacea (leatherback sea turtle), 575 nucleotides long. RefSeq lists it as uncharacterized. NCBI's taxonomy places the organism in Eukaryota, Metazoa, Chordata, Testudines, Dermochelyidae. The record is from RefSeq and is a predicted model, not a curated record. The transcript is spliced from 6 exons.
ACUUGCCCUGGAUAGGGCGGGACACUUUCGGCUGUUACGGUCUCUUCCGCCUGCCGCCGGCUGGGAUGGUGGCUGUGCUGGUGGUCCCUGCCAAAAGCAUGCACGAGGGAGGAAAGCCCAGCUCCAGCCGGAGAGGCCAGCAGCACCCUGCUGAUCCUGGGUGCCGCAUCUCUUUCCAUUUGGAAAUCCAGGAUGAGGCUUUUGGAUGAGAUUAUCCCUCCCACUAACUGCCCAUGAGUCUCUAACGAAGGAGGUGAAAAUUCCUUUGAUCAGCCCUGUUUGUCUGCUCAUCUGCACAAUGGAUGCAAUGUGUCUUCCACCCAAUGAUCCUGCACUAAAGAAAGUGCCUGUCUCAAGCCAGGGGCUGGUAACUUUGACUGCAAGCUGGAUUUGAAGGCGUGAUCGAUUUUUGCCGGAGGUCCUUGUAACAUGUGCAUGGUUCCCUGAUCUGAAAUGAAUUGGACAAUGGAUCCAAAGAUAACAGAACUCCUCUAGGCUUGGAGCAGGGCUGGCUGGAGAGAGAGAGAACUUUCGACCAAGGAGGUUUUAUCUUUCAGAAAUAAAUAAUCAAAAAU